GCACCUGUGAACGGGACAGCCUGACCCACCCAGGGGAUGACACGGGGGGCACCCAGGGAUCCCCCCUUCCUUGCAAUUCCAAACAUCACAGUGUGAGAGGAGGGGGCUCCCCACCCCCCACUCCCUGAUACCCCCUCACCCUCGCUGCGAGCAUCUCAGCAAGGAGAGAAGAUGUCGUUACCUGCGGGGGACAUCGGCCUGGGGAGAAUCUGGAGAGAGGCUGGAAGAGAAGAGAAGAGAAGAGAAGAGAGCUCAUGUUGAAGGAGAUUUUUGUCCACCCACUCUGUUCCUGUGAGACACUAGGGCAAAUUCUCUGAAGUCAAGUGCUCCUAUGGUCCAGUGAAGCACAAUCUAGAAAUUCCAUUUGAAACAUCCAUGUUUGUGAAGAGAAACCAAAGCUACCAGUAAAAUUCUAUUCAAGUAUCAGGGGAAAUGAAGGUGUAUUAACUGUAUGGAGAUCACAGUUAACAAAAAUUAUCUCUCUCUGUGUCCCCAUACACAUCUAUCUAUCUAAUCUAAUUUCUUGUACUAUCUAGGUAUUCCAACAAUAAAUAAAUCCAGACUGAUCAAGUGCAUAGUGUCUCACAAAAGUAGAAUUCACAGAAUAAACUAAAUUGGUUGAGAACGAUUUGUGGACAUAAUCUUCCUUGGACAUACCACUUUCAUAACCUUUAACAUUUUGAAAACAGCCUCCACCAGGCCCAAAGUGAUAGCUAUCCACAAAAGCACCACAUUUCGGAGGCACUUCACUAUUCUAACACCUGUGAGUGCAUGGAAACGUUAGAAUUUACACUCAUGAAACUCAAUAGGCUCAAGAUUCAAUGGAAACAUGGACACUGCUUAUGUGAAUCAGUGAGUGACCGCUUACAAUGAUCUUUAUGUGAAUAUUAGGUAAAUCAGAUUGCACAAAAUCUUAACCAGUUCCAUGUUAUUUUAUGAAGCGAUAUUAAUUGUACAUAGCACAUCCAUCUGUUUUAAGUACAUUUGGUAGACUGGAUGCUAAUCUACUGUAAAUUGGCAGUUGAAGGUCUGGCCCGAGAUAGCAGGCAAGCCUCAAAGGGUUUGAAUGUUGGGUUAAGAUAAAAUUCUGGACAAUGUAGGGUGAAAUCCUGGCCCCACUGAAAUUAAGUUCUGUAGUUGACGUCAGUGGGGCUAGGAUCUUCUUAGGAUUUUUAAUGUCUGUCUCACAAUAUUUGUUGUUUUUCUUCAAGUCUCAACUGCUUGAAUCAACAGAUCAGCUUUCAUAUUUUCUUUUAAAUAAUCAUUAUGUCUCUCUCUUCGGUAGUUCUUUUCAUCCAUAGAUCACAAAGCACUAUAUAAAGGAG
Chelonia mydas (Green sea turtle) is the source of this 1325-nucleotide long non-coding RNA. RefSeq lists it as uncharacterized. NCBI's taxonomy places the organism in Eukaryota, Metazoa, Chordata, Testudines, Cheloniidae. The record is from RefSeq and is a predicted model, not a curated record. The transcript has 3 exons.